AAUGAGGGAAAUCUUGAUGCAGCCAUGCCGCGUGUGUGAAGAAGGCCCGAGGGUUGUAAAGCACUUUCAAUUGUGAGGAAAGGUUAGUCGCUAAUAUCGGCUAGCUGUGACGUUAACUUUAGAAGAAGCACCGGCUAACUCUGUGCCAGCAGCCGCGGUAAUACAGAGGGUGCAAGCGUUAUUCGGAAUUACUGGGCGUAAAGCGCGCGUAGGCGGACUGUUAAGUCGGUUGUGAAAGCCCUGGGCUCAACCUAGGAACUGCAUCCGAUACUGGCUAUCUAGAGUUUAGGAGAGGGAAGUGGAAUUCCUGGUGUAGCAGUGAAAUGCGUAGAUAUCAGGAGGAACAUCAGUGGCGAAGGCGACUUCCUGGCCUAAAACUGACGCUGAGGUGCGAAAGCGUGGGUAGCGAACGGGAUU
RNAcentral lists this ribosomal RNA (417 nucleotides) under uncultured Gammaproteobacteria bacterium. Its description in RNAcentral is "bacterial SSU rRNA". It matches the Rfam family "Bacterial small subunit ribosomal RNA", at positions 370 to 779 of the family's 1533-position model. Lineage: Bacteria; Pseudomonadati; Pseudomonadota; Gammaproteobacteria. The record is from RNAcentral.